Molecule: non-coding RNA, 74 nt
Organism: Camelus ferus (Wild Bactrian camel)
Lineage: Eukaryota; Metazoa; Chordata; Mammalia; Artiodactyla; Camelidae
Source: Rfam
GCAGGGGUACAGCUCAGGGGUAGAGCACGUGCUUAGCACGCACGCGGUCCAGGGUUUAAUCCCCAGUCCCUCCG